Molecule: long non-coding RNA, 762 nt
Filed under: Monodelphis domestica (gray short-tailed opossum)
Lineage: Eukaryota; Metazoa; Chordata; Mammalia; Didelphimorphia; Didelphidae
Description: lncRNA (ENSMODG00000043757.1)
Source: RNAcentral
AAAAAAUUUUUGUCUAAUAACUAAAAUUAGUAGAGGAAAAUAGAGUAUUUUUUCUGGUAUUAUUUUUUUUCCAUUUACAAACUAUCAUUUGCUUUCAAUAAGGCUCCAAGCCAAUAAAAGAAAGUUCUCCAGAAUAGGGCAUGUUUUGUUCUUUGAAUUUAUAUCUGUAGCACCUAGCACAAUGCCUACAGUAGGCCCUUAAUAAAUACUUGCUGAUUAACUGAUAUAUUAUAAAAUAAUUACAGUAUCUAAUUCCAGAGUUGUCAAAUUUAAAAGUCUGUCCUUCUCUAAAACUGCUAUCACAGGAAUUCAAUCCCUGUGUACAACAACUCUGAUAAUAGUCAUCUUUUUUCCAUCCAUUUUUACUAACUUAGGGGUUAGCCCUUGAGAAAGAACUAAAAAAUGUAGGAAAAAUUCAUAGGAACAGUCAAUGAGUCAAUAAAGAGUUAAUCAAUAACCUUUAAGAGUCAAUUAUAGAUGCCAGGCACUAUGCCGAGGAAUGGGUGUGAAGACAAAAGAAAGUUCCAUAAAACCUUGAAGGAAAGGACAAUAGAACCAUAGCAAAGGAAACCAAGAAUAAAGUUCACUGAUGGCAAGAAUUUGAACCCAAGAUUUGCCUAUGAAGAUUACAGCCCUUGUUUUCAAAAGGAUCUCUGGCAGACUCCAUUGGGGCAGGACAAUGAAGAAAAGCUCUGGAGGUUCAACCCACACCUGAACUGAAGAUAGAGUCAAAUAAAUACCUAAAGGAAAAAAUAAGUUUCA